GGACUACAGGGGUUUCUAAUCCUGUUCGCUCCCCACGCUUUCGCUCCUCAGCGUCAGUGUCGGCCCAGACCACCGCCUUCGCUGCUGGUGUUCCUCCUGAUAUCUGCGCAUUUCACCGCUACACCAGGAAUUCCGUGGUCCCCUACCGAACUCUAGUCAUGGCAGUAUCGAACGGCCGCUCCAGGUUGAGCCUGGAGAUUUCACAAUCGACUUACCAAACCGCCUACGAGCUCUUUACGCCCAAUAAAUCCGGACAACGCUUGCACCCUACGUAUUACCGCGGCUGCUGGCAC
RNAcentral lists this ribosomal RNA (293 nucleotides) under uncultured bacterium. RNAcentral describes it as "partial 16S ribosomal RNA". The record is from RNAcentral.